This 495-nucleotide ribosomal RNA is filed under the name uncultured bacterium. Its description in RNAcentral is "partial 16S ribosomal RNA". It matches the Rfam family "Bacterial small subunit ribosomal RNA", at positions 28 to 507 of the family's 1533-position model. The record is from RNAcentral.
GACGAACGCUGGCGGCGUGCCUAAUACAUGCAAGUAGAACGCUGAAGGAGGAGCUUGCUCUUCUGGAUGAGUUGCGAACGGGUGAGUAACGCGUAGGUAACCUGCCUGGUAGCGGGGGAUAACUAUUGGAAAUGAUAGCUAAUACCGCAUAAGAGUAGAUGUUGCAUGACAUUUACUUAAAAGGUGCAAUUGUAUUACUACCAGAUGGACCUGCGUUGUAUUAGCUAGUUGGUGGGGUAACGGCUUACCAAGGCGACGAUACCUAGCCGACCUGAGAGGGUGAGCGGCCACACUGAGACUGAGACACGGCCCAGACUCCUACGGGAGGCAGCAGUAGGGAAGCUGCGGCAAUGGACGGAAGUCUGACCGAGCAACGCCGCGUGAGUGAAGAAGGUUUUCGGAUCGUAAAGCUCUGUUGUAAGAGAAGAACGAGUGUGAGAGUGGAAAGUGCACACUGUGAGGGUAUCUUACCAGAAAGGGAGGGCUAACUACGUG